Molecule: ribosomal RNA, 377 nt
Filed under: uncultured eukaryote
Lineage: Eukaryota
Description: partial 18S ribosomal RNA
Rfam family: Eukaryotic small subunit ribosomal RNA
Source: RNAcentral
CAAUAGCGUAUAUUAAAGUUGUUGCAGUUAAAAAGCUCGUAGUUGGAUUUCGGGGCAGCCUGGCUGGUCCGCCGCAAGGCGAGUACUGGUCAGCCGCCCUUCCUCUCGAAAGCCCCGACUGCUCUUCGUUGCAGUGGUCGGGUAGUUCGGGACGUUUACUUUGAAAAAAUUAGAGUGUUCAAGGCAGGCCUACGCCUGAAUACAUUAGCAUGGAAUAAUGGAAGAGGACCUCGGUCCUAUUUUGUUGGUUUCCAGGGCCGAAGUAAUGACUAAGAGGGACAGUUGGGGGCAUUCGUAUUUAAUUGUCAGAGGUGAAAUUCUCGGAUUUAUGAAAGACGAACAACUGCGAAAGCAUUUGCCAAGGAUGUUUUCAUUAA